RNAcentral lists this ribosomal RNA (828 nucleotides) under uncultured Fusobacteriota bacterium. RNAcentral's name for it is "bacterial SSU rRNA". It matches the Rfam family "Bacterial small subunit ribosomal RNA", at positions 39 to 885 of the family's 1533-position model. The record is from RNAcentral. Lineage: Bacteria; Fusobacteriati; Fusobacteriota.
ACAGAAUGCUUCACACAUGCAAGUUUACUUGAAUUUGGGUUUUUUAACUUCGAUUUGGGUGGCGGACGGGUGAGUAACGCGUAAAGAACUUGCCUCACAGCUAGGGACAACAUUUGGAAACGAAUGCUAAUACCUGAUAUUAUGAUUAUAGGGCAUCCUAGAAUUAUGAAAGCUAUAUGCGCUGUGAGAGAGCUUUGCGUCCCAUUAGCUAGUUGGAGAGGUAACGGCUCACCAAGGCGAUGAUGGGUAGCCGGCCUGAGAGGGUGAACGGCCACAAGGGGACUGAGACACGGCCCUUACUCCUACGGGAGGCAGCAGUGGGGAAUAUUGGUCAAUGGACCGAGAGUCUGAUCCAGCAAUUCUGUGUGCACGAUGACGUUUUUCGGAAUGUAAAGUGCUUUCAGUUGGGAAGAAAAAAAUGACGGUACCAACAGAAGAAGUGACGGCUAAAUACGUGCCAGCAGCCGCGGUAAUACGUAUGUCACGAGCGUUAUCCGGAUUUAUUGGGCGUAAAGCGCGUCUAGGUGGUUAUGUAAGUCUGAUGUGAAAAUGCAGGGCUCAACUCUGUAUUGCGUUGGAAACUGUGUAACUAGAGUACUGGAGAGGUAAGCGGAACUACAAGUGUAGAGGUGAAAUUCGUAGAUAUUUGUAGGAAUGCCGAUGGGGAAGCCAGCUUACUGGACAGAUACUGACGCUGAAGCGCGAAAGCGUGGGUAGCAAACAGGAUUAGAUACCCUGGUAGUCCACGCCGUAAACGAUGAUUACUAGGUGUUGGGGGUCGAACCUCAGCGCCCAAGCAAACGCGAUAAGUAUCCGCCUGGAGUACGU